RNAcentral lists this ribosomal RNA (433 nucleotides) under uncultured bacterium. RNAcentral describes it as "partial 16S ribosomal RNA". It matches the Rfam family "Bacterial small subunit ribosomal RNA", at positions 29 to 507 of the family's 1533-position model. The record is from RNAcentral.
AACGAACGCUGGCGGCAUGCCUAACACAUGCAAGUCGAACGAGACCUUCGGGUCUAGUGGCGCACGGGUGCGUAACGCGUGGGAACCUGCCCUUAGGUUCGGAAUAACUCCCCGAAAGGGGUGCUAAUACCGGAUAAUGUCUUCGGACCAAAGAUUUAUCGCCUUUGGAUGGGCCCGCGUUGGAUUAGCUAGUUGGUAGGGUAAAAGCCUACCAAGGCGACGAUCCAUAGCUGGUCUGAGAGGAUGAUCAGCCACACUGGGACUGAGACACGGCCCAGACUCCUACGGGAGGCAGCAGUAGGGAAUAUUGGACAAUGGGCGAAAGCCUGAUCCAGCAAUGCCGCGUGAGUGAUGAAGGCCUUAGGGUUGAAAAGCUCUUUUACCCGGGAUGAUAAUGACAGUACCGGGAGAAUAAGCUCCGGCUAACUCCGUG